Mauremys mutica (yellowpond turtle) is the source of this 403-nucleotide long non-coding RNA. RefSeq lists it as uncharacterized. The record is from RefSeq and is a predicted model, not a curated record. The transcript has 3 exons. NCBI's taxonomy places the organism in Eukaryota, Metazoa, Chordata, Testudines, Geoemydidae.
UAUUUAUUUUGUGUAGCUUUGAAAUUGUAAUCUCCCUCCAGAGCAUACUGACGUCUGAUUCCUCAUCCAAACCUCCUUAUAAGAAGCUGAAAAUUACUGCUCUAGAAUCUUGUUUCUGGAUCUACUUGCCCAAAAUCCCUUCAUCCCCAAAAUGGCUUUACCAGCUGGACGCUGAGUACAAUUCCAAGAGAGAUCAAGAGUAAUGACAAGGAGUGAGAACAGAGGAGACAGACAGUGAAUGUGUCUGUGUAACAGAGACGGCGAAGGAGCUGCAGGAGAGGACUGGAACAACAAGCCAAAGUCAGCUGUUUGUUCCUGCAACUAGUGAUGGGAAAAUCUGGUAUCCGCAUAACAUGACAUUUAUGUCUUCAUAUGCCCCUUUUAUCACCAAUAAACAAAAACA